Molecule: ribosomal RNA, 437 nt
Rfam family: Bacterial small subunit ribosomal RNA
ACGGGAGGCAGCAGUGGGGAAUAUUGGGCAAUGGGGGAAACCCUGACCCAGCAACGCCGCGUGAAGGAAGAAGGCUUUCGGGUUGUAAACUUCUUUUAAGAGGGACGAACACAAUGACGGUACCUCUUGAAUAAGCCACGGCUAACUACGUGCCAGCAGCCGCGGUAAUACGUAGGUGGCGAGCGUUAUCCGGAUUUACUGGGUGUAAAGGGCGCGUAGGCGGAGCGGCAAGUCAGAUGUGAAAUCCAUGGGCUUAACCCAUGAACUGCAUUUGAAACUGUCGCCCUUGAGUGUCGGAGAGGUAGACGGAAUUCCUAGUGUAGCGGUGAAAUGCGUAGAUAUUAGGAGGAACACCAGUGGCGAAGGCGGCUUGCUGGACCGUAACUGACGCUGAGGCUCGAAAGCGUGGGGAGCAAACAGGAUUAGAUACCCUGGUA